GCUGGCGGCGUGCCUAAUACAUGCAAGUCGAGCGAAUGGAUUGAGAGCUUGCUCUUAUGAAGUUAGCGGCGGACGGGUGAGUAACACGUGGGUAACCUGCCCAUAAGACUGGGAUAACUCCGGGAAACCGGGGCUAAUACCGGAUAAUAUUUUGAACUGCAUGGUUCGAAAUUGAAAGGCGGCUUCGGCUGUCACUUAUGGAUGGACCCGCGUCGCAUUAGCUAGUUGGUGAGGUAACGGCUCACCAAGGCAACGAUGCGUAGCCGACCUGAGAGGGUGAUCGGCCACACUGGGACUGAGACACGGCCCAGACUCCUACGGGAGGCAGCAGUAGGGAAUCUUCCGCAAUGGACGAAAGUCUGACGGAGCAACGCCGCGUGAGUGAUGAAAGCUUUCGGGUCGUAAAACUCUGUUGUUAGGGAAGAACAAGUGCUAGUUGAAUAAGCUGGCACCUUGACGGUACCUAACCAGAAAGCCACGGCUAACUACGUGCCAGCAGCCGCGGUAAUACGUAGGUGGCAAGCGUUAUCCGGAAUUAUUGGGCGUAAAGCGCGCGCAGGUGGUUUCUUAAGUCUGAUGUGAAAGCCCACGGCUCAACCGUGGAGGGUCAUUGGAAACUGGGAGACUUGAGUGCAAAAGAGGAAAGUGGAAUUCCGUGUGU
Molecule: ribosomal RNA, 661 nt
Filed under: uncultured Bacillus sp.
Lineage: Bacteria; Bacillati; Bacillota; Bacilli; Caryophanales; Bacillaceae
Description: bacterial SSU rRNA
Rfam family: Bacterial small subunit ribosomal RNA
Source: RNAcentral